Long non-coding RNA from Esox lucius (northern pike), 1567 nucleotides. The record is from Ensembl. NCBI's taxonomy places the organism in Eukaryota, Metazoa, Chordata, Actinopteri, Esociformes, Esocidae.
UAGCAAGAAAGAUGCCGAAAAACAACCAUGACACCAGAUGAUGAUCAUUUGCAAUGUCAAGUUAGAUUUUGCCAUGCAGAGACUUUUAUCAAUACAAAGCUUUUAUCAAUACAAAGUAAUUAAAUUAUAAUAUAUAAAGACAUCUAUAUCUGUAUCAAGACAUAGGCUUUCGCUGAAGAAAUAGAAGGCCUAAGUGACUGAUCAACACUGUUAGGGAUGGCCUUUUUUUCUGCAUUAUGAUUUGGAUUUAUGUAGCUUGUUAAUACAUUUGUUGAAUUAGGUUACUGUUGCGAGUGAAUAGUGGUGAAUUGAAAAAAAACAUAUCCAGAGGGGGGUGAUUUCACAGAGAGAUGGGAUGGUCGUUGUUGAGGAAGACCUGGAGGCUAUGCCCAAGAUGGAGUCCAACAUAAGAGGAAAAGUAGUGGUAAGAAGUUAGGGGGAACAUGCCACUAACAAAAAUACAGAUAAAACCACACUGGAUCCUUUACAAAGCUUUAUACUCUACAGUUUUAUUUCCUCUGAUUUCUUUGUUUGCCACUGGAUUUACAGCACAUGCACACAGUUGACACAUACAUGUUUUUGGCAUGCAAAAUUAUACAGGCUAUAUCACGUCAUGUAUCAAUCAGCUUAUUUAUUGGUAGAAAAUUAUGUAAACAGAGAAAGCUUGUUCCCAGACCCAUCUGACCAAUUGAGUUGUCUGCAUUAUGGAUUUACAAUACCUAGGUUAGUAAAAAUUCUAUCUUGGAGGGCAAAGCCAGGCUUUGUAAAUUUGGGCCUGGAUAGAGGAACAGUCAUGUACCUUUUUUACCACACAGUAACAAACACAAUGUUUGGCCCCGUCUCAUCCAAACUGAAUAGUCUACCUAGACAAAUAGGGAUCAACAGCUUUACAACAGACCUUGUAACUCGUGCCUCCUACUUCACCUCAUCAACAGUAUAUCAAAUGACAUGGAGAAUCUGUAACAAAGCAUGUUGAGUACUUUAUUACACAUGUUUGGUUAUAUGUGACUAACUUGGCCUUUCAGAAUCAGGACAUGAGUGAAGAUGAAGAGGCAUCGUUGGUAACAUGAGGUGAAUUAUACAAACAGAGUGGUUUCUGACAGAUUGGAAUGGACGCUGGGAUGGGUGGAGACUCCACCUCUGGAGCCGUAAGGGAUGCGGGACAAGUGGGGCUCUGCCCCCAGAGCAAGACAUGGUGCCGGGACAGGUGGGGCUCUGCCCCCAGAGCAGGUCAUGGUGCCGGGACAGGUGGGGCUCUGCCCCCAGAGCAGGUCAUGGUGCCGGGACAGGUGGAGUCUCCGCCCCAGGAGCAGGAUGAGGCAAAGGGAUGGAGGGUGGAAGCUCCACCCCCGAAUCAGUACAGAGUGUCGAAGCAGGAGGCCGCUCCACCCUCGAAUCCAUACAGGGAGCCGGAGUGAGAGGAAUCCUUUAUGUGAAGUAGUGUACUGGCCAGUACAAAUUGAAAAUUACAUCUUAAAUAGUUAUUUAUAAUUGAAAUAAACAAUGUAAGUUACUUAUCUCUCACUCAUUGAUACUUUGGACUUGUGUCUGAGGUGUUGCCUGGGAU